AAGUCGAACGGUCUCUUCGGAGAUAGUGGCGGACGGGUGAGUAACGCGUGAGAAUCUGCCUUUAGGUUCGGGACAACAGUUGGAAACGACUGCUAAUACCGAAUGUGYYKCAMGRUGAAAGAUUUAUYGCCURGAGAUGAGCUCGCGUCUGAUUAGCUAGUUGGUGGGGUAAAAGCGUACCAAGGCGACGAUCAGUAGCUGGUCUGAGAGGAUGAUCAGCCACACUGGGACUGAGACACGGCCCAGACUCCUACGGGAGGCAGCAGUGGGGAAUUUUCCGCAAUGGGCGAAAGCCUGACGGAGCAACGCCGCGUGAGGGAGGAAGGCUUUUGGGUUGUAAACCUCUUUUCUCAAGGAAGAUAAUGACGGUACUUGAGGAAUCAGCAUCGGCUAACUCCGUGCCAGCAGCCGCGGUAAUACGGAGGAUGCAAGCGUUAUCCGGAAUAAUUGGGCGUAAAGCGUUCGUAGGUGGUUUUGCAAGUCUGCUGUUAAAGCGUGUAGCUUAACUACAUAAUGGCGGUGGAAACUGCAAAACUAGAGUGCGUUCGGGGCAGAGGGAAUUCCUGGUGUAGCGGUGAAAUGCGUAGAUAUCAGGAAGAACACCGGUGGCGAAGGCGCUCUGCUAGGCCGCAACUGACACUGAGGGACGAAAGCUAGGGGAGCGAAUGGGAUUAGAUAC
This 679-nucleotide ribosomal RNA is filed under the name uncultured cyanobacterium. RNAcentral describes it as "bacterial SSU rRNA". It matches the Rfam family "Bacterial small subunit ribosomal RNA", at positions 59 to 785 of the family's 1533-position model. The record is from RNAcentral. Lineage: Bacteria; Bacillati; Cyanobacteriota.